RNAcentral lists this ribosomal RNA (253 nucleotides) under uncultured bacterium. RNAcentral describes it as "partial 16S ribosomal RNA". It matches the Rfam family "Bacterial small subunit ribosomal RNA", at positions 524 to 776 of the family's 1533-position model. The record is from RNAcentral.
UACAGAGGGGGCAAGCGUUAUUCGGAAUUAUUGGGCGUAAAGGGCGCGUAGGCGGCUUUGCAAGUGGCGGGUGAAAUCCCUCGGCUUAACCGAGGAACUGCCUGCCAGACUGUGAGGCUUGAGUCCGGGAGAGGUGAGUGGAAUUCCCAGUGUAGCGGUGAAAUGCGUAGAUAUUGGGAGGAACACCAGUGGCGAAGGCGGCUCACUGGACCGGAACUGACGCUGAGGCGCGAAAGCGUGGGGAGCAAACAGG